This 424-nucleotide ribosomal RNA is filed under the name uncultured Nitrospirales bacterium. RNAcentral describes it as "partial 16S ribosomal RNA". It matches the Rfam family "Bacterial small subunit ribosomal RNA", at positions 338 to 778 of the family's 1533-position model. The record is from RNAcentral. Lineage: Bacteria; Pseudomonadati; Nitrospirota; Nitrospiria; Nitrospirales.
CCUACGGGAGGCAGCAGUAAGGAAUCUUGCGCAAUGGGCGAAAGCCUGACGCAGCGACGCCGCGUGGGCGAUGAAGGCCUUCGGGUUGUAAAGCCCUUUUCUGGGGGACGAGGAAGGACGGUACCUCAGGAAGAAGCCACGGCUAACUCUGUGCCAGCAGCCGCGGUAAGACAGAGGUGGCAAGCGUUGUUCGGAUUUACUGGGCUUAAAGGGCGUGUAGGCGUUCUGAUAAGUUAGAUGUGGAAUCCCCGAGCUUAACUCGGGAAUUGCAUCUAAAACUGGCAGGAUGGAGUCAUACAUGGGAGGGCGGAAUUCCUGGUGUAGCGGUAAAAUGCGUAGAUAUCAGGAGGAAGGCCGGUGGCGAGGGCGGCCCUCUGGGAAAUGACUGACGCUGAGGCGCGAAAGCGUGGGGAGCAAACAGGAU